CCUACGGGUGGCAGCAGUGGGGAAUAUUGCACAAUGGGGGAAACCCUGAUGCAGCAACGCCGCGUGGGUGAAGGAGCGUUUCGGCGCGUAAAGCCCUGUCAGCGGGGAAGAAGAAAGACGGUACCCGACCAAGAAGCCCCGGCUAACUACGUGCCAGCAGCCGCGGUAAUACGUAGGGGGCGAGCGUUAUCCGGAAUUACUGGGUGUAAAGGGAGCGUAGACGGCGAGGUAAGCCUGAAGUGGAAGCCCGCGGCCCAACCGCGGAACUGCUUUGGGAACUGCAUGGCUGGAGUACAGGAGGGGCAGGCGGAAUUCCUAGUGUAGCGGUGAAAUGCGUAGAUAUUAGGAGGAACACCAGUGGCGAAGGCGGCUUACUGGACUGUAACUGACGUUGAGGCUCGAAAGCGUGGGGAGCAAACAGGAUUAGAUACCCUUGUAGUC
RNAcentral lists this ribosomal RNA (441 nucleotides) under uncultured bacterium. Its description in RNAcentral is "partial 16S ribosomal RNA". It matches the Rfam family "Bacterial small subunit ribosomal RNA", at positions 338 to 795 of the family's 1533-position model. The record is from RNAcentral.